GCUAAGCUCCCCUUAGCCGUCUCAUGGAGCUGCAGGCCGUCAAAUCAAAGGCACUCCUUCCAUAUAAAGUUUUUUUAUUUGACAAAAAUGAAAACUUGUCAGUUUGCCACUUUCACAAGGUUGGAUUAAUAACAUGUUCAACUACACUCCAACCUCAUGCUGUCAGGUGAGACACAUGAAGCUCAGACUAUUUUAGUAAAUAUCUUCUUGAAGCGGCUGUGAAGUGGAAGAAUACUUUCAGCAGCUACUGGGGGCUGUGCUUUGGAAAGGUGGGUGUGGUUAUAUCCUGCCUGGUUUACCCUGUCCGUGGGUAACUUUGGAAGGGGCAACAGUGGCCACUGACCCACAACUCCCCCCAUCUGUCUCCAUUAUCUAUGCUGCAAUAGUCUGUGUUGUCGGGCUAAGGUCAGUCUGUCAUAUCUGUUGUAAUUCUCCUGUCUUAUAUGGUAUCCUGUGUGAUCUUAGGUAAGCUCCCUUUAAUUCUCCCAUCUCUCUCUCUCUUUCUUCUCUCUCUCUCUCUCCCCUUCCGGAGGACCUGAGCCCUAGGACCAUGCCUCAGGAUUACUUGGCCUGACAACUCCUGGCUGUCCCUGUCUCCAGUCCACCUGGUCGUGCUGCUGAUCCAGUUUCUGCUGUUCUGCCUGCGGCAAAAUGGAACCCUGACCUGUUCACCAGUCAUACAUUUACUCCUGAGGUGCUGACCUUUUGCACCAUCUAUAACCACUGUUGUUGUUAUUAGACCCUGCUGGUUAUCUAUGAACGUUUGAACAUCUUGAAGAACGUUCUGGCCUAUUCUUAUCAUCUCCACCCGGCACAGACAGAAGAAGACUGGCCACCCCUCAGAGCCUGGUUCCUUUCUAGGUUUCUUCCUAGGUUCCAGCCUUUCUAGGGAGUUUUUCCUAGCCACUGUGCUUCUAUGUCUGCAUUGCCCAAAACUGAUGUCUCUCAAACACAGUAUUCCGCUGUGGUGCGCAGUAGUUUUCAAACGCUUUCAUCGCCUCUGCCAGUUUCUUGUUUUCCGGAUCGGCAUAUGAAAUCUCUAUCAUGUUGUAGAUCUCCAGCGCGUCCUUGCCAAUGCAGUGUAGCAAAACUGCUAUUUUCCUAUGUUCCGACUUGUAAUUUAGCCCACUGACUAAGUAGUACAGGUUCAGUCUUUGUCCCAUUUCUGCCAAUUUUCUGAACGGUUUCCAUUCAAUAACAACGGUGAUGGUGGUGUAAAUGACUGCACUGCUGCUAAUCCCAAACUCGAUAGCUGUCACGUCCUGACCAGCAGAUGGAGCUAGUGUUUUAGUUUUGGGGUCAGGACGUGGCAUGUUUGUAUUGGUUAAAUGUUGGGUGGAUGAUUGGGACUUCCAAUUGAAGGCAGGUGUGUAUAGUUGCCUUUGAUUGGAAGUCCUAUAUAGGUGUGUGUGUUUUUCUUUGGGGUUGUGGGUGGUUGUUUUUUGCACUGCGUUUCUAGCCUGCAGAACUGUAGCUGUUGUUACUUUGUUUGAAUUGUUAAGUGGAUGCUUUACUCCUUUAUUUUAAUUAAAGAUGAGUAUUCACGUACCUGCUGCGCCUUGGUCCAUUUCUACAGAAGACAACCGUUACAGAACCACCCACCAAAGGACCAAGCAGCAGAAGAGGAGGAAGCCACAUGAGAGAAAAAAGGGAACAAUGGACAUGGGAGGACGUCCUGGACGGCAAGGGAGCCUACACCUGGGAAGAGAUCCUGGCCGGAAGGGAUCGCCUCCCAUGGGAACAGGUGGAGGCACUCAGGAGAGUGGAGGCAGCUGGACAGAGGAACCAUCGGGAACGUUACGCUGGAACACGGUUGGCUAGGAAACCCGAGAGGCAGCCCCAAGA
RNAcentral lists this long non-coding RNA (1845 nucleotides) under Salmo salar (Atlantic salmon). RNAcentral's name for it is "lncRNA (ENSSSAG00000107513.1)". The record is from RNAcentral. Lineage: Eukaryota; Metazoa; Chordata; Actinopteri; Salmoniformes; Salmonidae.